Lemur catta (Ring-tailed lemur) is the source of this 1981-nucleotide long non-coding RNA. RefSeq lists it as uncharacterized. The record is from RefSeq and is a predicted model, not a curated record. The transcript has 3 exons. NCBI's taxonomy places the organism in Eukaryota, Metazoa, Chordata, Mammalia, Primates, Lemuridae.
GUGCGGGUUCCGAGCGGCUGCGGGCGGCCUGGGCUUCCGGGGCCAACGCCUGGGUGGCUGCCGCUGCCGCGCCCGCUGCGAGAUGGCGAUCUGGGGCGCGGAUGGGUGAGCGCGCCGCCUCAGGAGGAGGUGCCGCCGCCGUGGCCGCCCGGCUGCCGGGAGCCGCCAGCUUCGCGCCGGUGAUCCCAGGAACUGUCUUGCUGCAGCAGUAAAUUGUAUGCCUCCAUGAAAACCCAAAAGGACAAGAUUAGGAGAGCUUUGAGAUUGCUGAACAUGCGGAGAUGCCUGAAGCAUGGCGCACCUGAAGUAGGUAUGAAAGCUCCAUGCCCUUUCCUACAUACCUUGCCCUGUGUACCUCUUCGACUGGCUGUUCAUUUAUAUCCUUUUUAAUAUCCUUUGUUAUAAACCAGUGAAUGUGGUUCCUUGAGCUCCCUGAGCAGUCCUAGCAAAUUAAUCAAACCCAGGGAGGGGUCAUGGGAAACCUGCUUUAUAGCUGGUCAGUCAGAAGCACAGGUCACAACCUGGGACUUGUAACGGACAUCUGAGACUGACAUCUGAAGUGGGGGCAGUUAUCUGGGAUUGAGCCUUUCACCAGUGGGAUCUGGUGCUAACUUCAGAUAGAUAGGGUCAAAAUGAGACUGAAUUACAUGAUACUUGGUUGGUGUCCACUGGAGAAUUUCUUGGUGUGUGGAGAAAAAUCCACACACCCAUUUUGUUUGUUUGUCUGUCUGCAUGUAUGUAUUUUUAAGGCUAGCCAAGUGAAGCAGUGGGAUUGGAGAAGGAACAAAGGAAUCUAUAACUGGUUGUGAUCAUUUAUUUGUAAACACCACUGCAGUUGGACAAGCCCACACACCUGUUUUGAUACCUGAGAUACAGUGUUCUGUGCUGAGUAUUGUAUUGAUGAGAGUUAGGUUUCUCCUCUGUCUAACAUUACCCUUUAAAAAGCAUUUUAUUUUACAGGGAAAUGAAUUUGGAGAACUCGUAGUUAAAAACAAUUGGCCCCUGAUAUGGAAUAACUUCCACGGCACACUUUCGCUCCAAGAGUAAGAACUCAGUCUGGCAUUGUUCAUUUUGAAUCUACUCUUUAAAUACAUGUAGAAAUAUGUUUUAUUACAGGAGCAGGAGAUAUGACUGUCCUUGGAACUGUUCGAACAAUUAUGUGUGGUAUGAACUUUUGAAGUAAAACAAUCCCUGACUUAACGGUAUUUUCAGUGGUACAAAUGUAUAUGCAUUCAAUGUAAACCGUGCUUCAAAUUUUGAAUUUUAAACUUUUUCUGGGCUAGCAGUCUGUGGUGUGAUACUCUCUUGUGAUGUGAUGCUGGGCAGAGGCAGUAGCUGCAGCUCCCGGUCAGCUACUCCAUCCUGAGGGUAAACAACCAACACUCUACAGCGCACUCUGUUGUCAGUGUUCUUGGAUAUUUUAUUUUGUGUUUUUACAUCCCGUCAUGUCUACAAAAUGCUCAUCUGUGUAUCGUAUUCAACACUUUAUUAUAAAAUAGGCUUUGUGUUGGAUGAUUUUGCACAACUGUGGGCUAAUGUAAGUGUUCUGAGCCCAUGUAAGGUAGGUUAGAGUAAGCUAUGAUAUUCAGUAGGUUAAGUGUAUUAAAGACAUUUUCAACUUAAGCUGUUUUCAGCUUACAAAGAGUCUGUUGGGAUGUAGCCCCAUUGUAAGUUGAGGAGCAUCUGUAUAAUAGAAAUUUAUGUUGAAUUUUUUUUGUAAAGAUUUUUAGUGGAAAGCAAAGAGUUCAUGACUACCAUGUCAAAAGCACAGGCAAUAAAAAUAGAUAAAUGGUACAUAAUUAAACCAAAAAGCUUCUGCAUAGUGAACAAAAUAAUCAACAAAGUGAAUAGACAACCUGCAGAAUUGGAGAAAUAUUUGCAACGUAUGCAUCCAACAGGUGAGUAAUGUCCAGAAUUUAUAAGGAACUCAAACAACAAGAACAACAAAUCCCAUUAAAAAGUGGGCUAAGGACAUGAAUAG